Long non-coding RNA from Cavia porcellus (domestic guinea pig), 1298 nucleotides. RefSeq lists it as uncharacterized. Lineage: Eukaryota; Metazoa; Chordata; Mammalia; Rodentia; Caviidae. The transcript is spliced from 2 exons. The record is from RefSeq and is a predicted model, not a curated record.
ACUGGGAUUCCUCCCCUCCGGUUCAUGUGUAGUUCAGGCCCUGCUGUGAUUUUACUUCUUAGCCUUGUGACGAUUGAACAUCACAUAAUGGGUUUGCAGUUAUUUAUGGGAUGUAUGUGUUCAUGGAGAUGAGAAAGUUGGUAAUAAUGUUUCUGAUUUCCUUGAUCUCGAUCCCCUGCAAUAAUAUUUUCUUUUCCUCUGUCUUACGGAACUGUACGACAGUAUAAAGGAUAGAUUCAGAGGGGGUGAAGUCUAAAUUACACCCACCAUCUGGCAUCAGAGGAUUUAGAAAGAGACUGGACCAGAAGGAAUUAUUCUGCAGCCCUCAGUCCACGUGAUUUGGCCCCCCCAAACUGGACAGGACUCCCAAAUUUGAUACCAGUCCUCGAAAAGACGGAAUGUUGCUCAGAGAGUUGGAAGUUUUGGCUCCUGUCCCGUUCCACUCCAGACAGGCAAAAUUAGCACCACAUUUUUCAUAGUAAUUGUUGUGUGGUAUCGCGUUGCAUGAACGUGGUGCAAUUUAUCCACUGGCCCAAGGAUGGACGUGGCAACUGCUUCAAAUACUCUUUCUGACACAAGCGCUCCAACGCACGUCCUCCUGAGGGACACUGUCUGUGGGGUGCACCAAGGGAGACCCAGGAGCGCAGAGUCGCCCUGCAUCAGCAUCAUGGAAGAGACAAACAGUCCUCAGAGAACUCUUCCCACUCACACUCCCUCCUCUCCAUCCCACAGUGGACAGCAUGUUUGCCAUUUCUGCAGCCUUUGCCCUGUUUUAAUCGUGCAGACUUUCGAGUGUUACCUUUCACACUUACUUCUCAGAUCUACCUGGAAUUUAGCAUGGGGAAAUUGUCAGAAAUAUUUAAUCCGAUCUUGCAUGCAGGACCGUGCAGCUUUCUGGAGCACACACUAGCCUUUCUGCCACUCCGCAGACACAGAGCUCUCGUGGUGUAAACCCGCACGGGACAGCUUACAGGGCCUCAGCUCUCUGUUCUAGGUGUGUUUGCUUGUCUCUGCAUGGAGGUGGCCACAUUCCAAUCACCAUCCAUCCCCACAGCACCGAGGGUGCUGCCCGCUGUUCUUAGCUCUUCUGUGGAUUUGCUGAUUAAAAACUACAGUUUCACUGACUGUGCUUCGGAAUUCUGACUGGGGUAUCACGAACUUCACAAUUUAAUUUAGAGAGGCUUGAUAUCUGUUUAAAGUUGGCUCUUCCUGUAAACCCAGAACAUGUCUCCCCUUAUUCAGUUUCUUAAAAAUUCUGUUAUAGUUUUCUCAAUAAAACACAGACUCUCAUUCUAUUU